CCGGAAGUCAAGAGUCAGAUUUGCCUUGUCACACCCCCGCGUCGCCUCGCUCUGGCGACACGGGGGGCACAAACCCUAGCGCCGCCACCGUUCUCCCCUUCCCCCACCCGUCUCGCUGCCGCCAGAGGGUGCCCGCCGGCGAAGUCUGGCCGGCCCCGAGGAAGGCGGCGGCGGGGCACUUCCUGUUGUUGGUGCGGCGCGUCGAGAGGAGCCGCUGGAGGACGCGCAGAGGAGAUCCACGAGCUCUGGAUCUGCGGUCCGUGCGCCAGAUCCGCGCGAUGCGCGUCCAUGACGACGCGGUGGAGGUGCCUGGCCGCGCGCCCGUCCAGCACUUGGUGAGCACGCGCACUUAGUUGCACGUGGGAGCCGUUGGGCGCGGUCACCGCAGCGUGGAAGCCCAGGGGCGGCGCGAACGCGCGUGUCGCCGUCGUGGGGUGCCGCUGGGGGACGCGGGCUCCCUCGGCUGGCGGCCUCUGGCUGGGAGCGGCCGGAUCUGACGGGCCUCGCCGGCCGGAUCUGGCGCUAUGGAGGCCGGAGGCCCGGAGGUGGCUCGGCCGGCGACUGUUUGCAAGCGGAUUGCGUGGUGGCUUCUAGUCGGGAUGGUGGUCUGGGGUAGCGUGGUCUGGGCAGUGCCUUCGGGAUGCUCUGGGCUUGCGCUGCCGGCGGUGCUCCGGCUAGUUUUGGGCGGUGCAGCAAGUAGCAUCUGCUGCUCCGAUCUGGUGGUGGUGUGUUGGAGACGUCGUCCCAGCAUAGGUGCUCGGUUCCUGACGAAAGUCAUGCUCAACUACGGUUUGGGCUGAUGGCGAAUGAUGCCUUUGGGUGUGAUUUUCCUUGUUGAAGGCGCCAUCGAGGGGAUCUGACACCUCUCCUUGCUCUAUGUUCUUGUCUCCCGGUGAAAACCGUGUGCAAUGGUCGCGCCAGUGGUGUCAUUACUUUGUUGGAAGCAUUGCCUUGGAGGCAAAUCUGGUGUGAGGAGCACUUGGUCAGUGGUGGUGUGGUGGAUCUGGAGCGGGCAGCGUUUUGGUGAGCUUGGAGCUUUUGGUGGUGCAUCCGUUUGCGGCUGGUCGUUCGGUCAACGGUGAGAGCAACAAGAGCAACCUUCACAUGCAAGUUGCGCCAGGCGAGCUAUGUCUACUUGCCUCGCGGGAUCGGAGCGGCAUAUGUAUCGCUCUUUCGGACAUAUCGUUCCUCUCCGGUGUCCUCGAUGUUUGUAGAUAUGCUCGUGGCAGCCCGGUACAAGACGACGGUUGUCGGUGUGCAUUUUGGUAGCAGCGAAGGCGCUCGAGUGCCCGCCCGGGUGUGUUGUGGGGUUUUGGCUUUCCGGCGCUUUUGUAUGUGUUGUGAUGCUUUAGACCUAGUCUAACUAGGCGUUGCUUGGUUUUUGCCCGGUUUUCCUUAAUAAACCGAGCAGUCCUUUUUUCGUUCUUUUUUUUUAGCACUCGUCUUUAUGCGGUGCAUUCCUCCUUUGAGGGUGUUCUUGUAAUACCUUUUUCUGAUCAACGAAUUUGGCAGUUCUCCUGUCAACGUUCAAAAAAAAAAAAGAGGUUAGUCUCCACACCGGAUUUAAUCUAUUUUUCUG
Molecule: ribosomal RNA, 1579 nt
Filed under: Triticum aestivum (bread wheat)
Lineage: Eukaryota; Viridiplantae; Streptophyta; Magnoliopsida; Poales; Poaceae
Description: partial small subunit ribosomal RNA
Source: RNAcentral